GCAUGCGCGUGCUAUAAUGCAGUCGAGCGAACAGAUGAGAAGCUUGCUUCUCUGAUGUUAGCGGCGGACGGGUGAGUAACACGUGGGUAACCUACCUAUAAGACUGGGAUAACUCCGGGAAACCGGGGCUAAUACCGGAUAAUAUUUUGAACCGCAUGGUUCAAUAGUGAAAGACGGUUUCGGCUGUCACUUAUAGAUGGACCCGCGCCGUAUUAGCUAGUUGGUAAGGUAACGGCUUACCAAGGCGACGAUACGUAGCCGACCUGAGAGGGUGAUCGGCCACACUGGAACUGAGACACGGUCCAGACUCCUACGGGAGGCAGCAGUAGGGAAUCUUCCGCAAUGGGCGAAAGCCUGACGGAGCAACGCCGCGUGAGUGAUGAAGGUCUUCGGAUCGUAAAACUCUGUUGUUAGGGAAGAACAAAUUUGUUAGUAACUGAACAAGUCUUGACGGUACCUAACCAGAAAGCCACGGCUAACUACGUGCCAGCAGCCGCGGUAAUACGUAGGUGGCAAGCGUUAUCCGGAAUUAUUGGGCGUAAAGCGCGCGUAGGCGGUUUCUUAAGUCUGAUGUGAAAGCCCACGGCUCAACCGUGGAGGGUCAUUGGAAACUGGGAAACUUGAGUGCAGAAGAGGAGAGUGGAAUUCCAUGUGUAGCGGUGAAAUGCGCAGAGAUAUGGAGGAACACCAGUGGCGAAGGCGGCUCUCUGGUCUGUAACUGACGCUGAUGUGCGAAAGCGUGGGGAUCAAACAGGAUUAGAUACCCUGGUAGUCCACGCCGUAAACGAUGAGUGCUAAGUGUUAGGGGGUUUCCGCCCCUUAGUGCUGCAGCUAACGCAUUAAGCACUCCGCCUGGGGAGUACGACCGCAAGGUUGAAACUCAAAGGAAUUGACGGGGACCCGCACAAGCGGUGGAGCAUGUGGUUUAAUUUGAAGCAACGCGAAGAACCUUACCAAAUCUUGACAUCCUUUGACCGCUCUAGAGAUAGAGUCUUCCCCUUCGGGGGACAAAGUGACAGGUGGUGCAUGGUUGUCGUCAGCUCGUGUCGUGAGAUGUUGGGUUAAGUCCCGCAACGAGCGCAACCCUUAAGCUUAGUUGCCAUCAUUAAGUUGGGCACUUUAGGUUGACUGCCGGUGACAAACCGGAGGAAGGUGGGGAUGACGUCAAAUCAUCAUGCCCCUUAUGAUUUGGGCUACACACGUGCUACAAUGGAUAAUACAAAGGGCAGCGAAUCCGCGAGGCCAAGCAAAUCCCAUAAAAUUAUUUUCAGUUCGGAUUGUAGUUUGCAACUCGACUACAUGAAGCUGGAAUCGCUAGUAAUCGUAGAUCAGCAUGCUCCGGUGAAUACGUUCCCGGGUCUUGUACACACCGCCCGUCACACCACGAGAGUUUGUAACACCCGAAGCCGGUGGAGUAACCUUUUAGGAGCUAGCCGUCGAAGUGACAAAGUU
RNAcentral lists this ribosomal RNA (1452 nucleotides) under Mammaliicoccus sciuri. RNAcentral's name for it is "bacterial SSU rRNA". It matches the Rfam family "Bacterial small subunit ribosomal RNA". The record is from RNAcentral. Lineage: Bacteria; Bacillati; Bacillota; Bacilli; Caryophanales; Staphylococcaceae.